AUUGAACGCUGGCGGCAUGCCUAACACAUGCAAGUCGAGCGGAUGAAGGGAGCUUGCUCCUGGAUUCAGCGGCGGACGGGUGAGUAAUGCCUAGGAAUCUGCCUGGUAGUGGGGGAUAACGUCCGGAAACGGGCGCUAAUACCGCAUACGUCCUGAGGGAGAAAGUGGGGGAUCUUCGGACCUCACGCUAUCAGAUGAGCCUAGGUCGGAUUAGCUAGUUGGUGGGGUAAAGGCCUACCAAGGCGACGAUCCGUAACUGGUCUGAGAGGAUGAUCAGUCACACUGGAACUGAGACACGGUCCAGACUCCUACGGGAGGCAGCAGUGGGGAAUAUUGGACAAUGGGCGAAAGGCUGAUCCAGCCAUGCCGCGUGUGUGAAGAAGGUCUUCGGAUUGUAAAGCACUUUAAGUUGGGAGGAAGGGCAGUAAGUUAAUACCUGGCUGUUUUGACGGUACCAACAGAAUAAGCACCGGCUAACUUCGUG
Molecule: ribosomal RNA, 484 nt
Filed under: uncultured bacterium
Lineage: Bacteria
Description: partial 16S ribosomal RNA
Rfam family: Bacterial small subunit ribosomal RNA
Source: RNAcentral